Aquila chrysaetos chrysaetos is the source of this 5566-nucleotide long non-coding RNA. RefSeq lists it as uncharacterized. The transcript is spliced from 2 exons. Lineage: Eukaryota; Metazoa; Chordata; Aves; Accipitriformes; Accipitridae. The record is from RefSeq and is a predicted model, not a curated record.
UAUUUUGCUGUUACGACUCCUGUAGCAAGAAGAGGCAUCCACAGGUGGAUCUCUGGUGUAACAGGAGCCAUUUUACAAGGCAACUUUUUUUGUUUUGCUCCAGUAGCCUUCCUUACCUUCCUGAUCAUGUCAACAAAGCUCCCAAGGGUGAGCCAGGUCAUCUUUAAGAAUGGCUUUGCUGUAGGUAGCAGCCAGGUGAGCUGAUUUUCUCCAGGUUUUGGGGGGUGAGGCAGCUCACCUGACUAGGGCCACACCAAAUGGCCACCUGGCAGUUGCCUUGAUGACAAGAUCUGCCGUGACCUGUUCUUUAGUAGCUGGGUGGGAGUUGAUGAGAGGAAAGCUACAGAAGAGUUCAACUGACCAGCAUACAGUGAUGUGAAAACUAUGCGCGAUACAGAAACCAACAAGAAACUGUUGGGAAGAGUUUGAAUUCCAUCGGGAUGCUUAGAGGAACAAAAUGAAGCUGGUGCGUAAGCACUGUAAGCCUACAACCUGCCUGAAUGGAAAAGCACUAGGUCGGAGAAGGCACCUGUGGCUGUACCAGUGUAUUACAAGGAAGGAGCACGGCUCGCCAAGUCCCCACCAAUUUGGGUUGAGUGCACGCUGAUGAGUUCCAGUGCUGUUAAGUCUCCAAACUUCUGGCAUCUCUGUGAGUGACUUAACCAUAAUCUCUUGUCUGUUCUAGUUCUUGGUAAUUCAGUAAUAACGAGGUACUCGGUAGCUAGAAGAUGCUUUUUAUCAAAAAUGAAACAUUAACUGUAAAAAAUACUUGAUGCUGUUGUAUCCAUUUUUGUAAGAAAAAUGGACUAGUCGGACUUAGACUAAAACAUCUGGAAAAAAUGAGAAAAUACUGAGGAAUAGCGUACGGGUUGGUGGGUGAGCUCAGCCCAUGGCGAAGUGUGCCUUAGUAUCCUGGCCUUUUGCUUAGCUAGAGCUCGAGGUUCCAGCGCCCGGGGCCUUCCUUCAGACCCUGCCAUCAACACCUGAGGCGGUGGGAGAGGGCUGGUCUGUGACUAGACCUCACCAGUUUAGAUACACGCCGAGGCGCGAUGUUAUAGCAGGAAGGAAAGGGAAGCAGUUGUGUCUAUUACUGAGCCUUAUCCUCUGGUUGGAAGAAAGCAGGGGGGCUUUUUUAUGCUGUUUCUAUUUCCACUACAAGAUAGUCUCGAGUCAAAUGUUAUGUACUGCAAGCAGCAAUUGUGACUUUUAAUGCUCAUUUAAAAUGCUGAUUUAUUCAACAGUGAAAACACAAAUUAGCCCGACAGCAAAUAAUUAGAACAAAGCUGUGGCAAUGAACAUUACAUUGGAAUAUGGCUAAUAACAGAAAUGUGUGGCACAUGCCGGUAUCGGCAGCGUCGCUGGGUACGAGUGUUUCAGUGCUGGAAAUACAAGGGAUGAAAUACAGGAAGUUUGUCUUAACUGCAGUGCGAGAUGCUCCCAAUAAAUGCAGGUAACGUCUCGAAGCAUGUCAUAGCAGAACAUAAUUUAACAUGGUUCUCUUUUCUGCGGUACUCAGUAUCUCAGUUUAAAUUUCCUGAAUAGCUGCUUCCUCAUCCCAUUUCCCUGAAGUAACUGGUAUUUGCAUAACUGACCAAACUUGACGUUUGGGGUUUGGAGGAGUGGCGUGUUUCUAUAGUGCAGGACCUGCUCUAUGCUUUUGAAGAAAUAAAAAUUGCUACAGGUGAGAUUUUGUAGUUCUCAUGUAGUGGCACGUUGGUACAUUAAUAAAUAGAAGUGUUUGGUCUCCAAAAUUCUAGAGUAGAAACAAAGGCUACCUGAGAAAUGCACAUGGAACCGAAAAACCAAGUGAAUUAUUUAACAUAGCUUGUGUGGAGAUGAAGGCAUGGUGGAAGAUACAGAGGUAAAAAUUUUUUCAUGGUUUAAAAAAAAAAAAAAACACCACGUAUCGGAGUUUCUCUUUCUCUGGAAAAGUUCUCCAGAGUUCUUCUCCAACUCUCAGUUUUGUUCCUGAAGUUUUGCUCUCCUGAACAAAAACACUUGAGUUAACUCUUGGAGUUAACUUCUAGGUCCUUCAAACAAAAUCCUUGUAGUGGUUUGUUGGGUUGGGUUUGGUUGGUUUUUGUGUUGGUUUGUUGGGGUUUUUUUAAAGCUUAAAACAGAGGGUUUUUUUAAAGUCAGGAUUUUAAGAACAACUGAAAUAAAGCAGUAAUGAAUCUCUACCACCUGCUGCAGAGUAUGGCAGCCUUCCUGUGUAAUAUCCUCUUACAUUCCAUAAUCAAAAUCCUGGUCCAUCACAAAAGAGAGCAAUGUAGUGCUCUAGCUAAAGAAACUCAGCAAAACUACUCUCUGCCUCCCUCCAACCCAAUAUGCUUUUGGUAUGUGCUAUAUAUCAAGGAAGUGAGGUCUAUGUGCUGUGGCACGGACCAAAAGAAUUUGAAAAAAGGGAUGCCACCACCUUCCAGGUCAGCUGUAGGACAAAGCGAGACGACAGCUAGAGAAGCCCCUCCGCAGGAAGCCUUUCCCCUCACCUCACGCCAACGCCACUGGUCUGGGCCACACACCCUCGCUGUGACUUUGGUUAGGAAUAACAGCUUGACGAAGGUCGGGGGGUGAGGGGGCGUUAAAGGCUGUAACGGACACAACUUCAUAAUAUGCGUCAAACUCGGACUUCCCCAUUGCACAGUUUCCUGUUACAAUAGAUGUAAGAUUUCAAGUGGACUUGCAUGUAAGCACGUUUUCUGUGGUAUCGGACUAAUCUUGAGAGUUAAAAACAAACAGUCUUUGUAUGGAUCUCGCCAUCGGAUUUAAAUCUUAUCCCUUUCUUAUGGUGUUUGAUCUAAGGUACAUAUCUUGAAUGAUGACUUAAAAACUAGAAAACGUAUGUAAGCCAGCUAGGCUUUGUUCCAGCUGUUGUGUUUUCCAGUUCAGCUUCCCUACACACCUAUGUUCUGCUGCCUGCCAUUUCAACAGUCUCUGCUAUAGCAUUAUUCCCUAAUAAUGCCUUUCCUAGGCACAAACACAAGCCCAGUAUGAGAACCAGAGACCUCUAAAAGAAAAAAAACAAAACAAAAACCAAAAAACCCCACACCCAAACCAAACGUAACUACACACAAAAAAAAAGAAGAUAGGAUAAAGCUUUCUCUCACAGCAGAGUGCACAGGCAUAAGAGCAUGAGGCUAACUGGAAAUAGUUAUGUUUUCUAGCAGGCCAUAACACACUCAUGUUGACAAUAUUUUGGAAUAACUCGUUCUUUAUUUGUUACCAUUGUAAACAUCUCUUUCUAUUACACAGACAUCACAGUUUACAUUAUUGCUUUUAUAUUGUGUAAAACAGAAAUUUCUAUUAGUAUGAGGCUAUCUAAGCACAGUGUGAUAAGAAGAAACUGUCCACACGCUGCCUUGGGCUGUCUUUUUUUUUUUUUUUUUUUUUUUUUUUUUUUUUUUUUUUUCUCUCUUCGCUAGAGAAAGACAAUAUACAGACUGGCACAAGAAACAUCAGUCCAAAGAUUGAUCACCAUUGUACUACAGCAACACAAAACAAGUAUGACAGAAAGAAACAACAGGUUACAUCUUUACCACGCAUUCACUAGCAGUAUUUUCAAGAAUACUGACUGCUGAACUCCCAUCUAACUAAAUACAAACUUUUUCAUCACGGUAACUCUUAAAACAAGGCUAACAGUUAUUUUUUUGUAAAAUGUUUGUUACUUAAACUAGGAUGGAAAAUCUGGAAAAUGAAUGCUUGGGGCUUUGUGUGUGUGUUUAAUUUUUUGUUUGCAUUUUGUUUUGUUUUUCAAAGAGUGAAAAUCCGAAACUAUUUAUCUGAGGUGCUUAAAUUGGCACCUUUUCCUACUGUCCUUUAGGACAAAACACCCUAUUCUUUACACUGCUGUAUCAGAUGACAGCAGCACAAUCUGUUUAAAAACAUUCUCAGUUUCCUUCUUCCUAAGUAGCACUGUCUUCAACUCGCUUUCCAAUCAAGUUGGUUACUUACGGAGCACUGUGUUUACUUACUGAAGGACUAGAUUUUACUUCUGCCUGUGGUAAACUUCUACUUAUCUUCAGAUUAAUUUGUUCAUGGAGUGGCACCGUGUUUCAAGCAUACACUAAACAACAAAAGUGGAGGUAGCUUGUUAAACAGUUGCUACAGGAACAACAACAACAAAAUUUAGAGAACCACCUUGUUGUCUUCAGUUUUAGAUUUUUUUUUUCUAAAAUUACUAUUGCAUAUAAGCUUUCACAUAGUGAAUGCUUUAAAGAGGCAGCAAGUUAGAAAACUAACAGUACUUGCAAAUUCUAAUAAGAUAAUACAUACUUUAAAACAUGACAGUUAAUAAAUAACAAGAGAAUUUACUAAGGUUUUAGGACUCUUAGAAUAAACCAUGAGCAACAAAUUCUGAUGUUAAACAAAUUGAUUAUAUCAACUUGCAGAAAGGUGGCCUACCUCCAUUUUGAAUCUUCCAUAACCUUAGGAUUGUCACCCUACAACAGAGUUAGUAUUAAAAUACCGCUGACUAGUAAAACAUUGCUCUUCCCUUCCCUAAAAACAAUUUUACUGUUUUUCCAUAUAUUUUCUAGCUACCACCAUAAUACAAUUAGCCUACCACUGGUGCAAAAGAGGGACACCCAGUACUAGUCUACAUAUAGUGAGUGACUCUGGCCUACUUGAUCGUACAAAACUACAUGCAAAUUCUAACCGUUUAUUGGGAAGGUGUAUUGAAGCCUAACAUAAACAUUCACUUUAAUUACUACAGGCAAACUAAUGCAUUCCUGUGUAUCUCACUCAUCUGAUGAAGGUUGGGGUUACUUUUUUUCUUUGUAUACUGCCACAGUUUACUCCCGGCUCACAGUUUGAUUUUUAAAAAAGAGAAAAAAACCAAAAAGCUAAUGAAGAUGCAUCUCACAUUGGGCUCAAUCUACAUUCUACAAUAAAAUGUCUUCGGUGUGUGAUAGGAAAUCUGAAACUUGAUGGUUGGGCUUUAAAAGCUUCAGCAGUAGUUAAAUGUCAGCCUGCUAGUGAACAAUGAGCCAAGUUAAAGUUUCAAGGCUGGAAAGAGGAGGGCGUAGAUUAUUUUUGCACCUGUUGUCAAAAAAAAAAAAAAGGUUGCAAACUCUAGCACACGGGAGUGUUUCAGAGAGAUGGCUCAAGCAAUUUUGUUACUUGCUUGCAAGCAGUAGGUGAAAAUUAAGAAUGGGAUUGCCUUUCCUGAUGCUGCUGCUAAACGUAUUGGGGUCACUUCUGAAAUUCAACAUGUCUCACAUUGCUUGCAAAAGAGAUCUACAAGCAAUAGCAAAAUGAAUGAAGGAAGACAAACAUGACAGAAGCUGGGGCUAGAGAGUAACAGACAACUAACCUCUCCGCCACUGGGAAAGAGUCCACUUUCAGAGCUCUACAGCAGGACCUGAAUCCCAGAACACUCUCCACAGGAUCUCAGCUUUUUCAGUGGCGAGAAUUACAGGACUGAAGUACCUGGGAGUAGGAGAAGAACGAGGCUUCCUGUGGUCAGUUUUAUAUCUAAUCUAGUCAGUUUAGCUGUUCAGCUUACAAACCAUGGCAUAACCAUAAAUACUCUCCCUACAAGCAUAUUCAAGUCACUUUUUUUUUUUUU